GGUUCGAUUCUGGCUAGAUUGAACUGGCAGGAUCACUUUACACAUGCAAGUCGAACGGCAGCACGGACUUCGGUCUGGUGGCGAGUGGCGAACGGGUGAGUAAUGUAUCGGAACGUGCCCUAGUAGCGGGGGAUAACUACGCGAAAGCGUAGCUGGCUACAUACGCCCUUCGAGGAAAGCGGGGACCUUCGGGCCUCGCACUAUUAGGAAAAGCGGCCGAUAUCGGAUU
RNAcentral lists this unclassified non-coding RNA (229 nucleotides) under uncultured Bordetella sp. RNAcentral describes it as "partial 16S-23S ribosomal RNA intergenic spacer". It matches the Rfam family "Bacterial small subunit ribosomal RNA", at positions 10 to 242 of the family's 1533-position model. The record is from RNAcentral. Lineage: Bacteria; Pseudomonadati; Pseudomonadota; Betaproteobacteria; Burkholderiales; Alcaligenaceae.